AUACGAAGGGUGCAAACGUUAUUCGGAAUCAUUGGGUGUAAAGGGUGCGUAGACGGUGUACCAAGCUCGUUGUUAAAUACUCCGGCCCAACCGGAGAAUUGCAGUGAGAACUGGUACGCUCGAGGAUGGAAGAGAGAAGUGGAAUUCCCGGAGUGGCGGUAAAAUGCGUAGAUCUCGGGAGGAACACCGAUGGCGAAGGCAGCUUCUUGGUCCAUUCCUGACGUUGAGGCACGAGAGCGUGGGGAGCAAACAGGAUUAGAUACCCUGGUAGUCCACGCCGUAAACGAUAAUCACUAGACGUUGGACUGGCUUUGCUGGUUCAGUGUCGAAGCUAACGCGUUAAGUGAUUCACCUGGGGAGUACGGUCGCAAGAUUAAAACUCAAAGGAAUUGACGGGGUCCGCACAAGCGGUGGAACAUGUGGUUUAAUUCGACGCUACGCGAGAAACCUUACCUGGGUUUGACAUGUAUUCGACAGUCGUAGAGACACGAUUUUCUGGAUUUAUUCAGACGGAUACACAGGUGC
Molecule: ribosomal RNA, 525 nt
Filed under: uncultured bacterium
Lineage: Bacteria
Description: bacterial SSU rRNA
Rfam family: Bacterial small subunit ribosomal RNA
Source: RNAcentral